UACGAAGGGGGCUAGCGUUGCUCGGAAUCACUGGGCGGAAAGCGCACGUAGGCGGCUUUUUAAGUCAGAGGUGAAAUCCUGGAGCUCAACUCCAGAACUGCCUUUGAUACUGAGAAGCUUGAGUCCGGGAGAGGUGAGUGGAACUGCGGGUGUAGAGGUGAAAUUCGUAGAUAUUCGCAAGAACACCAGUGGCGAAGGCGGCUCACUGGUCCGGUACUGACGCUGAGGUGCGAAAGCGUGGGGAGCAAACAGG
This 253-nucleotide ribosomal RNA is filed under the name uncultured bacterium. Its description in RNAcentral is "partial 16S ribosomal RNA". It matches the Rfam family "Bacterial small subunit ribosomal RNA", at positions 524 to 776 of the family's 1533-position model. The record is from RNAcentral.